RNAcentral lists this unclassified non-coding RNA (250 nucleotides) under plant metagenome. RNAcentral's name for it is "partial contains small subunit ribosomal RNA, internal transcribed spacer 1, and 5.8S ribosomal RNA". The record is from RNAcentral.
GUAGGUGAACCUGCGGAAGGAUCAUUAUUGAAUGAACUUGGUGUGGGUUGUUGCUGGCCCUUUCACGAGGGCAUGUGCACACCCCACCAUCCUCAUCUCUCCACCUGUGCACCUCUUGUAGACUUGGGAUAAAUUUUUCCGAGGCAACUCGGUCUGGAGGAAUGCUGCAAAGCUUUCUUUGUAAUUCCUGGUCUACGUUUUUCAUAUACCCCAAUAGCAUGUAACAGAAUGUAUCAUUUGGGCCCUCGUG